GUCGAGCGAAUGGAUUAAGAGCUUGCUCUUAUGAAGUUAGCGGCGGACGGGUGAGUAACACGUGGGUAACCUGCCCAUAAGACUGGGAUAACUCCGGGAAACCGGGGCUAAUACCGGAUAACAUUUUGAACCGCAUGGUUCGAAAUUGAAAGGCGGCUUCGGCUGUCACUUAUGGAUGGACCCGCGUCGCAUUAGCUAGUUGGUGAGGUAACGGCUCACCAAGGCAACGAUGCGUAGCCGACCUGAGAAGGGUGAUCGGCCACACUGGGACUGAGACACCGCCCAGACUCCUACGGGAGGCAGCAGUAGGGAAUCUACCGCAAUGGACGAAAGUCUCGACCGAAGCAACGCCGCGUGAGUGAUGAAGCCUUUCGGGUCGUAAAACUCUGUUGUUAGGGAAGAACAAGUGCUAGUUGAAUAAGCUGGCACCUUGACGGUACCUAACCAGAAAGCCACGGCUAACUACGUGCCAGCAGCCGCGGUAAUACGUAGGUGGCAAGCGUUAUCCGGAAUUAUUGGGCGUAAAGCGCGCGCAGGUGGUUUCUUAAGUCUGAUGUGAAAGCCCACCGCUCCAACCGUGGGAGGGGUCAUUGGAAACUGGGAGACUUGAGUGCAGAAAGAGGAAAGUGGAAUUUCCAUGUUGUAGCGGUGAAAUGCGUAGAGAUAUGGAGGAACACCAGUGGCGAAGGCGACUUUCUGGUCUGUAACUGACACUGAGGCGCGAAAGCGUGGGGAGCAAACAGGAUUAGAUACCCUGGGUAGUCCACGCCGUAAACGAUGAGUGCUAAGUGUUAGAGGGUUUCCGCCCUUUAGUGCUGAAGUUAACGCAUUAAGCACUCCGCCCUGCGGAGUACUGGCCGCAAGGCUGAAACUCAAUAGAAAUAGAACGGGCGGCCCGCACAAGCAGUGGCAGCAUGAUGGCUUUAAAUACGAAGCAACGCGCAAGAAUCAUUACCUAGGUCGGUGGACAGCCUACUGAAAACCCUACAGAUUAGGGCUUGCUCCUCUCGAGAGCAGCAGUGACAAGUCAGUGCAUAGAUGUCGUCACCUCAUGUCAAGAGAUGGAUGAGCUAAGUCCAGCAACGAACGCACACCCUUGACCUUAGUUGCCAUCAGUAACUUGGGCACUGUAACGUGACUGCCGGUGACAAACCGGACGAAGGUGGGGAUGACGUCAAAUCAUCGAUGACCCUUAUGACCUGGGCUACACACGUGCUACAAUGGACGGUACAAAGAGCUGCAAGACCGCGAGGUGGAGCUAAUCUCAUAAAACCGUUCUCAGUUCGGAUUGUAGGCUGCAACUCGCCUACAUGAAGCUGGAAUCGCUAGUAAUCGCGGAUCAGCAUGCCGCGGUGA
This 1356-nucleotide ribosomal RNA is filed under the name Bacillus sp. (in: firmicutes). Its description in RNAcentral is "bacterial SSU rRNA". It matches the Rfam family "Bacterial small subunit ribosomal RNA", at positions 61 to 1365 of the family's 1533-position model. Lineage: Bacteria; Bacillati; Bacillota; Bacilli; Caryophanales; Bacillaceae. The record is from RNAcentral.